GCGCCAGUAGCCCAACGGAUUAGAGCAUCUGACUACGGAUCAGAAGGUUGCAGGUUCGAAUCCUGUCUGGCGCA
Non-coding RNA from Gardnerella vaginalis ATCC 14019, 74 nucleotides. The record is from Rfam. NCBI's taxonomy places the organism in Bacteria, Bacillati, Actinomycetota, Actinomycetes, Bifidobacteriales, Bifidobacteriaceae.